Molecule: long non-coding RNA, 946 nt
Filed under: Diabrotica virgifera virgifera (western corn rootworm)
Lineage: Eukaryota; Metazoa; Arthropoda; Insecta; Coleoptera; Chrysomelidae
Description: uncharacterized LOC126879845
Source: RNAcentral
AGUUACGCUAUUAACUAAAUAAAUCCCAAUAAAAUUUCAUCAAAUACCCCUAAAUAAAUUCCGUGUGCGACGCCGUCGAUCGACUUAAGAACGAUAUCUCUCUGCUCACGCGCGAAAACCUGGGCGGUCGAUUUUGUCGAUCCGGCCAUGGGGACUUCAGUUUUGGUCAAGACUCAGGGCGAACACGCUGUGUUUUUUUUCUUAAGUGGCGGAUUUGGACGAGAUUUGGAAUAAAAAUGGAGCAGAUAUAUCACUAAAAUCAAGGAACAUUAAGACCAUUUUUUUUUUGGAAUAGCGAUAAUAUCAAAACUCAAUUUAUCUUUGGUUUUUUUUACAUAAAAGAAGUUUAAGGCCAGCGUGUUUCGUCUGUCCAAAUUCCGCCACUUAGACACUUAGUGACUUAGUCACUUAGUUACGUCGUAACUUAGUCACUUUGCAUUCCUUUGCAUAAUUUAUGUCACUUGAAGUAUGUACCAGUAACUGUUAGCAACUUUGCCAUGGUUUACCCAUAGAGCUCGCUGUUUCGUUGGAGAAAACCAGUACCUGACUUCACAACAUUUAGGAUUUUUCAGUAGGACUUGCCCACCACAGCAUCCAACCAGUUUAUCCUGCCAAAAGGACUCUCCUAUGGACUUCAUCUUGAAUUCUUAAAUAGGAACUGUGGUGAAAGAUAAGUUGUUUACUUUUAUUAUUUAUAUAUUUUGGGUACUCUAUAGUUGCUUGCACUGUAAACUGUUUGUAUGCAUACAAUCGAGUGGAACUAGGUACAUAUUUUCGUGACAGAUAGGGUUUUCAGGUCUUUGUUUUGUUCCAUAUUAUAAAUAGUAGUUUUUUCUAAUUAAGUAAGUCUUGUUUAAUAAUAAUCAUAAAUAAUUGUAGCUUAAAAUUUGAUAGGGAAUCGGGGGUAAAAUUUUGUCGAGCUUUUAAAAUAGGGAAUAUGUCUAGU